AUGGCGCUCAGGGCUGUUUUAGGUGCUGCCUUCAGGGGCGUUCGAUCUGCCCGCCAGCACUCUCUGGGGGUCACCAGGUACCCCGUUGACCCCAUCUCUGUCUGCUAUUUCACCAGCGCUAGAUCUGCCCAGGUUCACCCUUCGUUGUUGCAUUUCAGGACUGUGGAGGUAUCUGGUCCCAAGAUCUCUGCGUCCCGCUCCCCUUGGCUCGUUGGUUCCCGGUUCUUCUCCACUAAGGAAUCGGACACUCUUCUCAGGGAAAGUAUUAAGAAUGGAGUCCACAGGGGGUUAAAGGAAGCCCUUGCCAAAAAUGAUGGCAAAUCAGUUUUAAAGCUCUCUGUAAUUAAAUCUGGUGUGAAUGCUGGGGUUAAGGAAUCUCUGAAGGAAUACCAUGUUUUCAUUGACUUUGCUGAAUCCGAUUUGCGUCCUGAGGUUAAGUCGGCCAUUGAGGAGUCCGUGCUUCAAGGUCUUGAUAACUUUGUGCUUCAGUUGCACAAGGUACCACCCCAGGGAGGACAGCUAAAGGGCCCUUACCUUCUUAAGUUAGCUCUUAAGGAAGCUAUUGAUGAAGGGAUGGAUGUGAUUUAUCAAAAGUUCAGUGUUUAUGUUGGUCGAGGCGUGGACCUUCUCGUCAGGGACCUCGCAUUGAUCAAGGAGCAGACCAAGGGUACUGAUUUUGUUCAGGCUUGGUGUUCCCGCCUUGCCCAUCAGUGGCUUAACAAAGGUUUCAUAAAUUUUGUGGAUAAAUCGUGGACGAUUCUCCCGUAUGUUGCCGGCGUGUACCUGUUCGUCCUCUUUGUGAAGACCCUUGUUGAGAGUGGCAUACCACCCUGGGAAUACCCUGAUUUUCUCAACUUCUACCGCGUUUAUGGGCUCACCUCGGCCAUCGCCUUCUACCAGGAUGAAAAGAAGAAAAAGGAGGAGGCGGCGGCUGCUGGCGAGAAGUAG
RNAcentral lists this ribosomal RNA (948 nucleotides) under Triticum aestivum (bread wheat). RNAcentral describes it as "partial small subunit ribosomal RNA". Lineage: Eukaryota; Viridiplantae; Streptophyta; Magnoliopsida; Poales; Poaceae. The record is from RNAcentral.